This 253-nucleotide ribosomal RNA is filed under the name uncultured bacterium. Its description in RNAcentral is "partial 16S ribosomal RNA". It matches the Rfam family "Bacterial small subunit ribosomal RNA", at positions 524 to 776 of the family's 1533-position model. The record is from RNAcentral.
GACAGAGGUCCCGAGCGUUAGGCGGAAUCACUAGGCUUAAAGCGUGUGUAGGCGGAUUUGUAAGUACCUUGUGAAAUCCCACGGCUCAACCGUGGAACUGCUUGGUAUACUGCUUAUCUUGGGCCAGCUAGGGGCUACCGGAACAAGUGGUGGAGCGGUGAAAUGCGUAGAUAUCACUUGGAACGCCAAUGGUGAAAACAGGUAGCUGGGGCUGUGCCGACGCUGAGACACGAAAGCCAGGGGAGCGAACGGG